Molecule: ribosomal RNA, 459 nt
Filed under: uncultured bacterium
Lineage: Bacteria
Description: partial 16S ribosomal RNA
Rfam family: Bacterial small subunit ribosomal RNA
Source: RNAcentral
CCUACGGGUGGCAGCAGUGAGGAAUAUUGGUCAAUGGCCGAGAGGCUGAACCAGCCAAGUCGCGUGAGGGAAGACGGCCCUACGGGUUGUAAACCUCUUUUGUCUGGGAGUAAAGCGAACCACGUGUGGUUCAUUGAGAGUACCCGAAGAAAAAGCAUCGGCUAACUCCGUGCCAGCAGCCGCGGUAAUACGGGGGAUGCGAGCGUUAUCCGGAUUUAUUGGGUUUAAAGGGUGCGCAGGCGGAGGUGCAAGUCAGCGGUAAAAUUGUGGGGCUCAACCCCGUACUGCAGUUGAAACUGCAUCCCUUGAGUGCGCGAGAAGUAGGCGGAAUGCGUGGUGUAGCGGUGAAAUGCAUAGAUAUCACGCAGAACUCCGAUUGCGAAGGCAGCAUACCGGCGCGCAACUGACGCUCAGGCACGAAAGCGUGGGUAUCGAACAGGAUUAGAUACCCCUGUAGUC